GCACAACCACGUGCAGGAGCAGAAGCAGGAGCAGCAGGCACCUGCACCAGGCACAGGCAAGCUCCUGGUUUUAGGAAUUUUCCUCAGAUAAGCAUGGCUCAGCCCUCCUGUUGCCCAUUCUUGAGCACUCCCAGGGUGUGGAUGGGGGGAACAAGCACGCCUGUACCUCAAUGCCCUUUUUAAACCAGAAACAGGCUUGCAUUUUUCACCCCACUGAUAUGCAAACAUUUCUCUUGAAGAAAAGAAAAGAAAAUGCCUGGGUACCAGCUGGGUAGAAAUCCAAGAAAGAUUAAAAGAAGAAAACCAAUUUUCCUAUUCAUGAUCUCAGCAGUGAAGAGUGACCUCUUCCUCCCCCAGCCCCCUCUUGCUGUGAGUGCGGGUGAGCUGUGCUCUCCACAGAGCCAAGUGCAUUUCUGAAAUGAAGGAAGCAAACAGAAAACAUCCGCUCUCUGUAGAAUAGAGAAAGCUUUCUCUUUUGUUCCCUGCUUUUUAUCAAGUAUCUGCUGCCAUUAUUGUUACUCACUGGGUUAUUACCUCCGAGUGGCUACUUCCACCAGCACAAGCUGGUUUAUUGUCUGCUCAGAGCAAUUAUGGAUGGGGAUAAUUCCUGCCAUGCUGCUUCAUUGUGGAAGGAUCCGCUGUGUUCUGUGGCCAAGGUAACUUGAGGUGAUUUGUGCUGCAGAGUUACCCAUCAAGUUAAUUAGGAGUGGGUGGCGGGUGCCUCACUGAGUGCUGGGACAGAAGGAGCAGCAGAGGCUCAACCCAAGUAUCUUCUCAGUAUUCAAAAGAAAGUUUGUUCAGUGGAGCACACACCAGGUUAGGUUUGUUUUUUUCUUAGGACUAAUUCAUCUUUAUUUGCAGGUUGACAAAAUGUUGGCCAAUGCAUCCUCCCUCCAAGGGUGUGGGAGAUCAUUGCUUUGUGUGUGCAGAGCACAGGAGUGUCCCUGCAGGAGGACUUGGUGGAAGACACUUGCUGUCUGGCUCAUUGCUCAUCUGCAAGGAAUCCCAACAAACUUGCUACUGGCAAGAACAUUUAUUGGUGAGGCACUGCCAAAUCCCCCAAGCUGUCCAUGCACAAAGGGGUCAGGUCAUCCCUCGUGCAGCCCCCACAGCUGCAGCAGGGCUUGGCACAAGAUUUCUGCUGAAGAUGUGAGGGUUUGGUCCUGCAGGAGCAGCUGCAAGAGUUUUGCAAUGUAGAUACUCAGGUGCCUUAGUGGGUCAUGAGAUUCCAGGAUGACCUGGGAGACACAUGGAAGCCAACAUGCACCUGCCAGCUGAGGAUGGGCUCCCUCUGCUUUGAGGCAGUAACAUCUCAGGUCCAGACCUGCACCCAACAGUGGCAUCUCGGCAGUGAACUUGAGAUCUCCAGCAGAUGGAAGAUAGUGGAAGUCUCCAGACACUUUUUCUACAUAAGGUUGUUGUCUUACAUCUCUUUGCCCUCAUAUUUUUGGCUCCUGGCCUGCCCACUCAGCUUCUUUGCCUUGUCCCCAGCUCCUGAAGCAGCCCCAGGGCUGGGCACGCUGCCUGCAGGUACCCCCUGAGUGCCCAUCUGUAUUCAUGGAAAUAAUUCCAUCAGGAUCUGAUGGCAUUUGUAAAUAUUUGCAUUUUGUAAGGAAAUACCCUGUUUAAACAUAGGUUGAUAUUAAUUCCAUCUUCCUUGCAUUCCCCCACAUCCUUGAGCUCCGUUUACCAGCCCUGGCCCCUGAGACAGCUCUGCUGAAAGCAAAUAUGUCAGUCUGCACUGCACAGGGAAUAUUUUAAGGCUCUGAAAACAAAGUUUCUUAUAGCAAAGCUGCCAAAAGUGUAACCACUGCCAUGCUAAAAUAUCCUCUGCCUCCUACAUUUGUAACGUGGGAGUCUUUUAUAUCCUCUUUACUGUUGCUGAACCAUGCAUUUGUAUUGGCAGCAGAUGUAUAUAGACUGGGACCUAUUUCAGUGUCAUGCAAAAGAGCUCUUAGGUUAAAAGAUAGAUUACAGCUUACUGGAAAGCUUGAAAUUAACUGUGUGAUGAUGCCACACGAAGAUAAAGAACCAGCAAUUUUAUUGAAUUAGGAUUUUAUCCAUAUGGGCUGAAGGCUUGAACUGUAUUAACAUCUCCAGAGGUCUCCAGUUGCCAAAUUAACUAUUGAGGUUUUGGGCAACUAGUUGGAGACAGGAAAAAAAGACCUGAUUUAACUGUUUCCAGACAGUAAAAGGACUGUCUAG
Junco hyemalis (dark-eyed junco) is the source of this 2205-nucleotide long non-coding RNA. The record is from Ensembl. NCBI's taxonomy places the organism in Eukaryota, Metazoa, Chordata, Aves, Passeriformes, Passerellidae.